GGAUGUGAGGGCGAUCUGGCUGGGACAUCUGUCACCCCAUGGAUCUCCAGGGUUGAUUCAGCUGAUCUGGCUGGCUAGGCUGGCGUCCCCUUCCUCCCUCACCACUCCUUGUGUGUCCGUCCCGAAGCUGCGCACUCUGUUGAAGAGGACGACCAUCCCAGACAGAGGAGGACCAGUCUUUGUUCAAGGGUAUGUGAGUAGCUGCGCUCCCCUGCUAGAACCUCCAAACAAGCUCUCAAUUAUAAACAAAUAGCACCAAAACAUUUAGCAACAGUCUCUUUAUUUCUAGGAUUUAUCAAGCUCUGAUUAA
Nomascus leucogenys (northern white-cheeked gibbon) is the source of this 310-nucleotide unclassified non-coding RNA. Its record names the gene 7SK. It matches the Rfam family "7SK RNA". Rfam says of the family: 7SK was discovered as an abundant small nuclear RNA in the mid-70s but a possible function has only recently been suggested. Two independent studies have found that 7SK RNA binds the CDK9/cyclin T complex (known as elongation factor P-TEFb). P-TEFb activates transcription by phosphorylating the C-terminal domain of RNA polymerase II. Lineage: Eukaryota; Metazoa; Chordata; Mammalia; Primates; Hylobatidae. The record is from Ensembl.